Molecule: transfer RNA, 66 nt
Filed under: Vibrissina turrita
Lineage: Eukaryota; Metazoa; Arthropoda; Insecta; Diptera; Tachinidae
Also listed under: 1 other name
Description: tRNA-Gly
Source: RNAcentral
AUCUAUAUAAUAUAAAAAGUAUAUUUGACUUCCAAUCAUAAUGUCUAUAUUAAUAUAGUAUAGAUA